UACGUAGGGCGCAAGCGUUAUCCGGAAUUAUUGGGCGUAAAGAGCUCGUAGGCGGCUUGUCGCGUCGUCUGUGAAAUCCCGCGGCUCAACCGCGGGUCUGCAGUCGAUACGGGCAGGCUAGAGUUCGGUAGGGGAGACUGGAAUUCCUGGUGUAGCGGUGAAAUGCGCAGAUAUCAGGAGGAACACCGGUGGCGAAGGCGGCCCCCUGGGCAGUAACUGACACUGAGGCGCGACAGCGUGGGGAGCAAACAGG
This 253-nucleotide ribosomal RNA is filed under the name uncultured bacterium. RNAcentral describes it as "partial 16S ribosomal RNA". It matches the Rfam family "Bacterial small subunit ribosomal RNA", at positions 524 to 776 of the family's 1533-position model. The record is from RNAcentral.